Molecule: long non-coding RNA, 378 nt
Filed under: Homo sapiens (human)
Lineage: Eukaryota; Metazoa; Chordata; Mammalia; Primates; Hominidae
Description: LHRI_LNC669.1
Source: RNAcentral
CAGAGACUCUCCAGAUAGUGCUGAAUGAGGGGGCCAGGGCCCCAGGGUGGCCCAGGGUCCUGUGGGGAGACUCCCUGACCCCAAGAGACUCCCAGUGUGUGGCGUUGUCUGCCCAGCCAGCCUCCCCUACUGCCCAGGUAUAGAGCUGGGCUCCAGCCCGGCCAGUAGGUGCGCUCUAGGGCCCCAGAGGCCACUGGGCCUUGUGCCUGCCCGGGCUCAGACCCUGUGGUUCAGCCAGGAGGAGCAGCCACCUGGGAGCCUUGGGCCCAGAAAUAGGUGGGACAGGCCAGGAUGGCAGGUGGACUUGAAAUUCCACGGCAAGCACGACCGGAAGGAAUACAUCGGGGGCGAUUACACGGUCCUUCUUCCUCCUACCCC